This 253-nucleotide ribosomal RNA is filed under the name uncultured bacterium. RNAcentral describes it as "partial 16S ribosomal RNA". It matches the Rfam family "Bacterial small subunit ribosomal RNA", at positions 524 to 776 of the family's 1533-position model. The record is from RNAcentral.
UACGUAGGGUGCAAGCGUUAAUCGGAAUUACUGGGCGUAAAGCGUGCGCAGGCGGUGAUGUAAGCCAGGUGUGAAAUCCCCGGGCUUAACCUGGGAACUGCAUUUGUGACUGCAUAGCUAGAGUACGGUAGAGGGGGAUGGAAUUCCGCGUGUAGCAGUGAAAUGCGUAGAUAUGCGGAGGAACACCGAUGGCGAAGGCAAUCCCCUGGACCUGUACUGACGCUCAUGCACGAAAGCGUGGGGAGCAAACAGG